Molecule: ribosomal RNA, 517 nt
Filed under: uncultured bacterium
Lineage: Bacteria
Description: bacterial SSU rRNA
Rfam family: Bacterial small subunit ribosomal RNA
Source: RNAcentral
ACUGGGCGUAAAGGGCACGCAGGCGGACUUUUAAGUGAGGUGUGAAAUCCCCGGGCUUAACCUGGGAAUUGCAUUUCAGACUGGGGGUCUAGAGUACUUUAGGGAGGGGUAGAAUUCCACGUGUAGCGGUGAAAUGCGUAGAGAUGUGGAGGAAUACCGAAGGCGAAGGCAGCCCCUUGGGAAUGUACUGACGCUCAUGUGCGAAAGCGUGGGGAGCAAACAGGAUUAGAUACCCUGGUAGUCCACGCUGUAAACGAUGUCGAUUUGGGGAUUGGGCUUUAAGCUUGGUGCCCGUAGCUAACGUGAUAAAUCGACCGCCUGGGGAGUACGGCCGCAAGGUUAAAACUCAAAUGAAUUGACGGGGGCCCGCACAAGCGGUGGAGCAUGUGGUUUAAUUCGAUGCAACGCGAAGAACCUUACCUACUCUUGACAUCCAUGGAAUCUUGUAGAGAUACGAGAGUGCCUUCGGGAACCAUGAGACAGGUGCUGCAUGGCUGUCGUCAGCUCGUGUCGUGAG